This 468-nucleotide ribosomal RNA is filed under the name uncultured bacterium. Its description in RNAcentral is "bacterial SSU rRNA". It matches the Rfam family "Bacterial small subunit ribosomal RNA", at positions 29 to 506 of the family's 1533-position model. The record is from RNAcentral.
ACGAACGCUGGCGGCGUGCUUAACACAUGCAAGUCGAACGGUGAUCUUGAGAGCUUGCUCUUGGGUGAUCAGUGGCGAACGGGUGAGUAACACGUGAGUAACCUGCCCCAGACUCUGGAAUAACCUCGGGAAACCGUGGCUAAUACCGGAUACGAAACGAAGCUGCAUGGCUGUCGUUUGGAAAGUUUUUCGGUCUGGGAUGGACUCGCGGCCUAUCAGCUUGUUGGUGAGGUAAUGGCUCACCAAGGCGACGACGGGUAGCCGGCCUGAGAGGGCGACCGGCCACACUGGGACUGAGACACGGCCCAGACUCCUACGGGAGGCAGCAGUGGGGAAUAUUGCACAAUGGGCGAAAGCCUGAUGCAGCGACGCCGCGUGAGGGAUGACGGCCUUCGGGUUGUAAACCUCUUUCAGCAGGGAAGAAGCGAAAGUGACGGUACCUGCAGAAGAAGCACCGGCUAACUACGU